This 692-nucleotide long non-coding RNA is filed under the name Equus caballus (horse). Its description in RNAcentral is "lncRNA (ENSECAG00000054394.1)". Lineage: Eukaryota; Metazoa; Chordata; Mammalia; Perissodactyla; Equidae. The record is from RNAcentral.
GAUCCAGAAUGCAGCAGGGAUGAGGGCUGGCCAGCUCAAGAGCCAUUUUACCAGCUUAACAUCCUCAGUGGAAAAAGUAAACUUACCCUCUCCUUAGUGGCCCGGGCCGAAAAUCCUGGUAACCACACCUGUGGAAAGCCCAUCUGUUCAGACUAAGAAUUCAUGUUAGUAUGUCAGGCAGCAGGUGGGCUCUUACCCGGGAGGAAAUAAAUAGCCCGACACGGGAUUCUGAUGAUCAUAGAGGAAGGAAGUUUUCCUAAGGAAAUUGCUAGCUGAUGCAGAGGAAGACCAACCAGCAACUAUCCAUGCAUAAGUCACCACUGUGAACAUCCCAGAACCUGAGGGUGAGGUGGAAGCACCUCCCUUGACCAUAAAGACUGAGAAGGACCACAUUAGAAGGACAGCUAGACGACACGUCUCAGUUUCCUUUGCAGUCUGUGUGGUCACGUGACUGAAUUCUCAGCAAUGGAAUGUUUGCAUAUGAAGAAGGAAUCUGCAUUUGUAAGCACCUGGGAGAUAUGAGCAGGAUAUAGAGAGAACAGACAUUAAGAAAUAUUGGUCCAACGAUACAUUACAUUAAGAAAUGUACCAUCUGAGAGACUACCGCACAACAAUGGAGACCUAGGAUAUCAGUGAGGUAGUGCCAGAAGAAGUAGCAUGGGUGAUUUCAGUCAUAAAAACCUCUUCUUUUU